This 468-nucleotide ribosomal RNA is filed under the name uncultured bacterium. RNAcentral describes it as "partial 16S ribosomal RNA". It matches the Rfam family "Bacterial small subunit ribosomal RNA", at positions 28 to 507 of the family's 1533-position model. The record is from RNAcentral.
GACGAACGCUGGCGGCGUGCUUAACACAUGCAAGUCGAACGGAAAGGCCCUGCUUUUGUGGGGUGCUCGAGUGGCGAACGGGUGAGUAACACGUGAGUAACCUGCCCUUGACUUUGGGAUAACUUCAGGAGACUGGGGCUAAUACCGGAUAGGAGCUCCUGCUGCAUGGUGGGGGUUGGAAAGUUUCGGCGGUUGGGGAUGGACUCGCGGCUUAUCAGCUUGUUGGUGGGGUAGUGGCUUACCAAGGCUUUGACGGGUAGCCGGCCUGAGAGGGUGACCGGCCACAUUGGGACUGAGAUACGGCCCAGACUCCUACAGGAGGCAGCAGUGGGGAAUAUUGCACAAUGGGCGGAAGCCUGAUGCAGCAACGCCGCGUGCGGGAUGACGGCCUUCGGGUUGUAAACCGCUUUCGCCUGUGACGAAGCGUGAGUGACGGUAAUGGGUAAAGAAGCACCGGCUAACUACGUG